This 36-nucleotide transfer RNA is filed under the name Locusta migratoria (migratory locust). Its description in RNAcentral is "partial tRNA-Leu (CUN)". Lineage: Eukaryota; Metazoa; Arthropoda; Insecta; Orthoptera; Acrididae. The record is from RNAcentral.
GAAUUCAUUUAUGUAGAUUUUUUUCUACAAAUAGUA